Molecule: ribosomal RNA, 254 nt
Filed under: uncultured bacterium
Lineage: Bacteria
Description: partial 16S ribosomal RNA
Rfam family: Bacterial small subunit ribosomal RNA
Source: RNAcentral
UACGUAGGGGGCAAGCGUUGUCCGGAUUCAUUGGGCGUAAAGAGCUCGUAGGCGGUUCGAUAAGUCGGGUGUGAAACCUCCAGGCUCAACCUGGAGACGCCACCCGAUACUGUCGUGACUAGAGUCCAGUAGGGGAGCGUGGAAUUCCUGGUGUAGCGGUGAAAUGCGCAGAUAUCAGGAGGGACACCAGCGGCGAAGGCGGCGCUCUGGGCUGGAACUGACGCUGAGGAGCGAAAGCGUGGGGAGCGAACAGG